Molecule: ribosomal RNA, 465 nt
Filed under: uncultured bacterium
Lineage: Bacteria
Description: partial 16S ribosomal RNA
Rfam family: Bacterial small subunit ribosomal RNA
Source: RNAcentral
GACGAACGCUGGCGGCGUGCUUAACACAUGCAAGUCGUACGGUAAGGCCCUUUCGGGGGUACACGAGUGGCGAACGGGUGCGUAACACGUGCGUAACCUGCCCACAACUUUGGGAUAACGCUAGGAAACUGGUGCUAAUACUGGAUAUGUGCUCCUGCUGCAUGGUGGGGGUUGGAAAGCUCCGGCGGUUGUGGUUGGACUCGCGGCCUAUCAGCUUGUUGGUGGGGUAGUGGCCUACCAAGGCGGCGACGGGUAGCCGGCCUGAGAGGGUGACCGGCCACAUUGGGACUGAGAGACGGCCCAGACUCCGACGGGAGGCAGAAGGGGGGAAGAUUGAACAAGGGGCGCAAGCCUGAUGCAGCAACGCCGCGUGCGGUAUGACGGCCUUCGGGUUGUAAACCGCUUUCAGCAGGGACGAAGCUUUUUGUGACGGUACCUGCAGAAGAAGCACCGGCUAACUACGUG